AUGCAAGUCGAACGCAUUACUUCGGUAGUGAGUGGCGAACGGUGAGUAACACGUAGGUAACUACCUCUAAGACGAGGAUAACGACUGGAAACGGUCGCUAAAACUGGAUAGGAUCAUUUGAGGCAUCUCGAAUGAUUUAAAGGGGCUUCAAGCCACACUUAGAGAAACGGCCCGCGGCGCAUUAGCUAGUUGGUGUGGUAACGGCUCACCAAGGCGACGAUGCGUAGCCGACCUGAGAGGGUGAUCGGCCACAUUGGGACUGAGACACGGCCCAGACUCCUACGGGAGGCAGCAGGUGGGGAAUAUUGCACAAUGGGGGAAACCCUGAUGCAAGCAACGCCGCGUGAGUGAUGACCGGCCUUCGGGUUGUAAAGCUCUGUCUUCAGGGACGAUAAUGACGGUACCUGAGGAGGAAGCCACGGCUAACUACGUGCCAGCAGCGGC
This 444-nucleotide ribosomal RNA is filed under the name uncultured bacterium. RNAcentral's name for it is "bacterial SSU rRNA". It matches the Rfam family "Bacterial small subunit ribosomal RNA", at positions 55 to 518 of the family's 1533-position model. The record is from RNAcentral.